UGGUGAUGAGGAGCAUCAGCGGCGGGACAUCCCGACAGGAACAGAAUCACGGCAUCGACAUGAGCGAGUCAAAUCCAAGAUGAUGUCGCGGUCUUCAACCCAGUCCCCUGCCAGUGGGAGCCUGCAAUCAGGAAGAAGAGAGGGCGAACAGGAAGCCAAGAAUCAAAGAAGCAGAGUGUAGUAUGCAACAUAUCAAAGAUGGUAAAUUGAGCAACAGUUGAAUUAAAUUUCCUUUUGAUAUCUAAUUAGUAUAUAGUAGAACAUUAAUACCUUAUCUACCUUUUGUUGCAUCUUCUACUUCAUAUCAUCAGAUCUCUCCUAUAGAUACUGAUAAUUCUGUCUCCGGUAGAUGUCGUCCAGAUCAUUUAACAUGGUGCCAAUGGGAACUUUGUAUUCACACGCUUAUGCACUCAAACUCUGAUCAGCCAAGAAUCCAAUGAACAUGAUAGUGUGAUUAUAAUCUGACUUAUUUCAAACCUAUAUCUCUCCCCUUCUUUUUAUAUCAUUAUAAUGCUUUAAUUAAGGUGCCGUAUAACUCUCAAUAACCACUGGAUCAUCAAGCACAUUUCUGGCCCACAACCUUUUUAGUUCAUGGAUCACUGACCUGUAAACCUACUUCAAAGAAGCAACACAUUAGACUAAUUGUUACCUUAAGGCUAGAGAGAGAGAGAGAGAGAGAGAACAGAAAGCACAGAGACAUUCUUUUAAGAAUUUGGGAUGUUUUUAUUAUUACAUCAGGAGUGCUAUAUUCAGUAUAAUAUAUCAAUGUCAGUACUGCCUUCUGUGUAGCUCUGCCCUAAAGAUUCAAGCUACUGACAUGGGGGAUUACUACUACUAUAUGCCUAAGGUACACACACCAAAAUAAAGCUUAUUGAUAUAGCAAUUAUUUUAUGGGACAUAUUUGUUCAAAUCAAAUCCUAAUUUUAAAAAAAUCAUAUUAGGAUAAAUAUUGAAGAUACUUCUAUACUGGUAUUAUGAUAAUCUUUUUAUGUGUAUAUUAUUGAUUGUAAUCGAUCCAUUCAAUUUAAAAUCUGUACAACUAAGCAGUCAUGUAAUACAAAAUACAAAAUUGAAUUACCAAUUUUCAUAUUCUCCACAAGUUUCAUAUUCUUCAAAGUCUUUCUGGGUGCUUGACACUGUUCACCAAUAGAAAAUUUCAUGUUGUACUUGGAAAUAAACCAACAUGUGCAACACUCAUGUGCUUAACAAGAUAUAUGGUCCUAGAAGAAACAGAGUAAGCCCGAGUACGUUAAAGAAGAACAUAUUCGAGAGCAUAAUAAUACCAUUAAAAACAGAGCAUGAAAGAAGUAAAAGAAUACAACUAUCAAAGUAUACUAAUUUUUGUGAGCAAAUAACCAUAACAUACAAGGAAAAAUGUUUAUAUAACUCGUGCAGACUACCACACACACAGGUCAUGCAUGCGGUUUCUCACAUUUGUGCAUGGCUGAUUGGUGCUUACGUUAAUCCUUCCUAAUAUUAACGCACACAGAGAAGUAAAUUUGGCACAACAAUUCUCUUGUAUGCAGUGAAUAGCAAAACAGAAAGAAUCAAAUAUAUGGAAAGAGCACAUCUGACAGGUGACCAUAUGAGAUACAAGUCCUAGAAUAACACCUGAAGGAAAACAACCAUCACAAUAAGGAAUAAUGAAGGCAAGAAAAAGCUACAGAUGACUAGAUCUUAAGGGCUGCUAGAAGCUCAUAAAAAAUAGGUUAUAAUGUUAUAGAUAUACAUCCAGUGAGAAAAUGGAAACUAUAAUUAGGGUCCUAAAAACAUGUCACUGUGGAUAUCCAAGCAUGAAAGUUUACAGGACAAUUAAUCAUAUGGGCAUCGAAGGAAGCAAAAUAUCAAUGAAAUAUAACCACAAACUGUUCUCCAAACAAAGAUCUCACUGAAUUCAGACUUCCAAAUACUAGUAGUUGUACUUUUUGCUUUGGGUAGAAACUCCUACUUUUUGCUCUCUGGAGCACCGCUACUAGUAAAGUGUUUUCAUAUACCGUGGAUUUUUAUGCUGUGGAUGAAGUGGUUGUAAUAGUUUGUGGAGUUACGCCGCUUCUGAUUUCCCCUUCCUUUGCUGUGCAAUCAAGUACAUCAUACAUGUUCUUAUGAUUUCCUUGUCCUUGUGAAGAAUGAUGUGCUCCUAUAUAUUUUAUCUAUUAGCACUGAUUUGGUGUGUGUGUGUAUAUAUAUGAUACCUUCUCUUGCCAUGCUAUGUUCAAGUUCUUCCUCAUGCUUCUGCUUCAUCAUGUUUAGAGUAUACCAGCCACGAACAGAUCUUGCGAUUUAAAAUGUGAGAACAUGGAAACUAUAAUUAUGCAUGAAAGUUCACAGGGCUGUCAUUCGAUAUGAGCAUCAAAGAAAAUGUGAUGAGAUAUAACCACAAAUUGCUUCAAACACAGAUCUCACUGGAUUUAAACCACCAAAUUGUGAAGGCAGAAACGUUUAACAGAGGCUUGAUUGAAGCAGUAUCCUAAUCUAACCAUUAUUCCAGCAUUAAUGCAAUCAACAAAGCUUUGAUAAGUGAUUUGAUCCGACUAUCCCUAUAUCGCUAACAAUUUUGGUAUUAACACAAAAGGAACUGCUAUUCAUGGCAACGACCGACAUCAAACGAACAAAUUAACCCAAACCCUAGAUCCAAGGAGCAGCAUCGCACGAACAAUCCAUGGCAACGACCGAUACAUUGAAAGCAAUCAAGCAGAGAGAUCUGAGACGAUCAGAAAACAGGAUGCAGGAUUUACCAUCGGCAAGCUGGCAUAAAUCGCGAUCGCAAGAUCUCGAUGUACCGUGACCGGGAAUCCACGAGCGCGACGGGGAGAUCGGAAGACGAGGAUGGACGACCCGCUGCCUCCUUGUUUCCGAAGCGUCUUCUCUAUCCCCUAACCGAGCGUCG
RNAcentral lists this long non-coding RNA (2887 nucleotides) under Musa acuminata (dwarf banana). RNAcentral describes it as "long non-coding RNA (MACU_LNC006696)". The record is from RNAcentral. Lineage: Eukaryota; Viridiplantae; Streptophyta; Magnoliopsida; Zingiberales; Musaceae.